This 310-nucleotide ribosomal RNA is filed under the name uncultured eukaryote. Its description in RNAcentral is "partial 18S ribosomal RNA". It matches the Rfam family "Eukaryotic small subunit ribosomal RNA", at positions 1470 to 1796 of the family's 1831-position model. The record is from RNAcentral.
CCCUUAGAUGUUCUGGGCUGCACGCGUGCUACACUGAUUAUUUCAACAAGUGUUUUAACUGGAGAGUUUGCGUAAUCCUGAAAUGCUAUCGUGAUGGGAGUAGAGUAUUGUAUUUGUUAAUCUUUAACGAGGAAUUCCUAGUAAGUGUAGGUUUAUAAGUUGUUCUGAUUACGUCCCUGCCCUUUGUACACACCGCCCGUCGCUCCUACCGAUUGAUUGAUCCGGUGAAUUACAUAGAAUUUUGCGUUUUACAUGACGGAAGAUGAAGUGUUUUAAACCUUAUCAUUGAGAGGAAGGAGAAGUCGUAACA